AACCAAUAAAUGAUUGAUUGUCAUU
Molecule: non-coding RNA, 25 nt
Filed under: Cricetulus griseus (Chinese hamster)
Lineage: Eukaryota; Metazoa; Chordata; Mammalia; Rodentia; Cricetidae
Source: RNAcentral